RNAcentral lists this ribosomal RNA (428 nucleotides) under uncultured bacterium. Its description in RNAcentral is "bacterial SSU rRNA". It matches the Rfam family "Bacterial small subunit ribosomal RNA", at positions 30 to 459 of the family's 1533-position model. The record is from RNAcentral.
AUUGAACGCUGGCGGCAGGCCUAACACAUGCAAGUCGAGCGGUAGAGAGGUGCUUGCAUCUCUUGAGAGCGGCGGACGGGUGAGUAAUGCCUAGGAAUCUGCCUAGUGGUGGGGGAUAACGUUCGGAAACGGACGCUAAUACCGCAUACGUCCUACGGGAGAAAGCGGGGGAUCUUCGGACCUCGCGCCAUUAGAUGAGCCUAGGUCGGAUUAGCUAGUUGGUGAGGUAAUGGCUCACCAAGCCGACGAUCUGUAGCUGGUCUGAGAGGACGACCAGCCACACUGGGACUGAGACACGGCCCAGACUCCUACGGGAGGCAGCAGUGGGGAAUUUUGGACAAUGGGCGCAAGCCUGAUCCAGCAAUGCCGCGUGCAGGAUGAAGGCCUUCGGUUGUAACUAGCUUUGUUACGGUAACGAAACGGUAGAG